RNAcentral lists this ribosomal RNA (2540 nucleotides) under Vibrio parahaemolyticus. RNAcentral's name for it is "bacterial LSU rRNA". It matches the Rfam family "Bacterial large subunit ribosomal RNA", at positions 398 to 2925 of the family's 2925-position model. The record is from RNAcentral. Lineage: Bacteria; Pseudomonadati; Pseudomonadota; Gammaproteobacteria; Vibrionales; Vibrionaceae.
UUCAGUGAAAUCGAGUAGGGCGGGACACGUGAUAUCCUGUCUGAAUAUGGGGGGACCAUCCUCCAAGGCUAAAUACUACUGACUGACCGAUAGUGAACCAGUACCGUGAGGGAAAGGCGAAAAGAACCCCUGUGAGGGGAGUGAAAUAGAACCUGAAACCGUGUACGUACAAGCAGUAGGAGCACCUUCGUGGUGUGACUGCGUACCUUUUGUAUAAUGGGUCAGCGACUUAUAUUCAGUGGCAAGGUUAACCAUCUAGGGGAGCCGUAGGGAAACCGAGUCUUAACUGGGCGUUCAGUCUCUGGAUAUAGACCCGAAACCAGGUGAUCUAGCCAUGGGCAGGUUGAAGGUUGAGUAACAUCAACUGGAGGACCGAACCGACUAAUGUUGAAAAAUUAGCGGAUGACUUGUGGCUAGGGGUGAAAGGCCAAUCAAACCUGGAGAUAGCUGGUUCUCCCCGAAAGCUAUUUAGGUAGCGCCUCGGACGAAUACUACUGGGGGUAGAGCACUGUUAAGGCUAGGGGGUCAUCCCGACUUACCAACCCUUUGCAAACUCCGAAUACCAGUAAGUACUAUCCGGGAGACACACGGCGGGUGCUAACGUCCGUCGUGGAGAGGGAAACAACCCAGACCGCCAGCUAAGGUCCCAAAUUACUACUAAGUGGGAAACGAUGUGGGAAGGCUCAGACAGCCAGGAUGUUGGCUUAGAAGCAGCCAUCAUUUAAAGAAAGCGUAAUAGCUCACUGGUCGAGUCGGCCUGCGCGGAAGAUGUAACGGGGCUAAGUAGUAAACCGAAGCUGCGGCAAUAUACUUUUGUAUAUUGGGUAGGGGAGCGUUCUGUAAGCGGUUGAAGGUGUGUGGUAACGCAUGCUGGACGUAUCAGAAGUGCGAAUGCUGACAUGAGUAACGAUAAAGGGGGUGAAAAACCUCCUCGCCGGAAGACCAAGGGUUCCUGUCCAACGUUAAUCGGGGCAGGGUAAGUCGACCCCUAAGGCGAGGCCGAAAGGCGUAGUCGAUGGGAAACGGGUUAAUAUUCCCGUACUUCUUACAAUUGCGAUGGGGGGACGGAGAAGGCUAGGUGGGCCUGGCGACGGUUGUCCAGGUUCAAGUGCGUAGGCUUAAGAGUUAGGUAAAUCCGGCUCUUUUUAAGGCUGAGACACGACGUCGAGCACCUACGGGUGUGAAGUCAUUGAUGCCAUGCUUCCAGGAAAAGCCUCUAAGCUUCAGAUUGUAAGGAAUCGUACCCCAAACCGACACAGGUGGUCGGGUAGAGAAUACCAAGGCGCUUGAGAGAACUCGGGUGAAGGAACUAGGCAAAAUGGUACCGUAACUUCGGGAGAAGGUACGCUCUUGAUGGUGAAGUCCCUUGCGGAUGGAGCUGACGAGAGUCGCAGAUACCAGGUGGCUGCAACUGUUUAUUAAAAACACAGCACUGUGCAAAAUCGUAAGAUGACGUAUACGGUGUGACGCCUGCCCGGUGCCGGAAGGUUAAUUGAUGGGGUUAGACUUCGGUCGAAGCUCUUGAUCGAAGCCCCGGUAAACGGCGGCCGUAACUAUAACGGUCCUAAGGUAGCGAAAUUCCUUGUCGGGUAAGUUCCGACCUGCACGAAUGGCGUAAUGAUGGCCACGCUGUCUCCACCCGAGACUCAGUGAAAUUGAAAUCGCUGUGAAGAUGCAGUGUACCCGCGGCUAGACGGAAAGACCCCGUGAACCUUUACUACAGCUUGGCACUGAACAUUGACCCUACAUGUGUAGGAUAGGUGGGAGGCUUUGAAGCACGUACGCCAGUAUGUGUGGAGCCGUCCUUGAAAUACCACCCUUGUAGUGUUGAUGUUCUAACGUCGACCCCUUAUCGGGGUUGCGGACAGUGCCUGGUGGGUAGUUUGACUGGGGCGGUCUCCUCCCAAAGAGUAACGGAGGAGCACGAAGGUGGGCUAAUCACGGUUGGACAUCGUGAGGUUAGUGCAAUGGCAUAAGCCCGYUUGACUGCGAGAAUGACAAUUCGAGCAGGUGCGAAAGCAGGUCAUAGUGAUCCGGUGGUUCUGAAUGGAAGGGCCAUCGCUCAACGGAUAAAAGGUACUCCGGGGAUAACAGGCUGAUACCGCCCAAGAGUUCAUAUCGACGGCGGUGUUUGGCACCUCGAUGUCGGCUCAUCACAUCCUGGGGCUGAAGUCGGUCCCAAGGGUAUGGCUGUUCGCCAUUUAAAGUGGUACGCGAGCUGGGUUUAGAACGUCGUGAGACAGUUCGGUCCCUAUCUGCCGUGGGCGUUGGAAGAUUGAAGGGGGCUGCUCCUAGUACGAGAGGACCGGAGUGGACGAACCUCUGGUGUUCGGGUUGUGUCGCCAGACGCAUUGCCCGGUAGCUAAGUUCGGAAUCGAUAACCGCUGAAAGCAUCUAAGCGGGAAGCGAGCCCUGAGAUGAGUCUUCCCUGAUACUUUAAGUAUCCUAAAGGGUUGUCGGAGACUACGACGUUGAUAGGUCAGGUGUGUAAGUGCUGUGAGGCAUUGAGCUAACUGAUACUAAUUGCCCGUGAGGCUUAA